GUACUAGCCUGCCGAUUCCUCCUUCUUGUAGAACCGUAAUGCCAUUAAUUUGGUGUUGCGGGGAAACAGGACUGUUACUUUGAAAAAAUUAGAGUGUUUAAAGCAGGCUAGCGCCUGAAUACAUUAGCAUGGAAUAAUGAAAUAGGACGUUCGAACCUAUUUUGUUGGUUUCUAGGAUUGACGUAAUGAUUAAUAGGGAUAGUUGGGGGCAUUAGUAUUCAAUUGUCAGAGGUGAAAUUCUUGGAUUUAUUGAAGACUGACUACUGCGAAAGCAUUUGCCAAGGAUGUUUUCAUUAAUCAAGAACGAAAGUUAGGGGAUCGAAGACGAUCAGAUACCGUCGUAGUCUUAACCAUAAACUAUGCCGACUAGGGAUCGGAUGAUGUUA
Molecule: ribosomal RNA, 386 nt
Filed under: uncultured Glomeromycotina
Lineage: Eukaryota; Fungi; Glomeromycota
Description: SSU rRNA
Rfam family: Eukaryotic small subunit ribosomal RNA
Source: RNAcentral